This is a long non-coding RNA of Mercurialis annua (annual mercury), 652 nucleotides long. RefSeq lists it as uncharacterized. NCBI's taxonomy places the organism in Eukaryota, Viridiplantae, Streptophyta, Magnoliopsida, Malpighiales, Euphorbiaceae. The record is from RefSeq and is a predicted model, not a curated record. The transcript is spliced from 3 exons.
UGCUGCAUUAUCCUUUUCCAUUCUUCACGUUUGUUGCUCCUUAUAACCUAAUAAUUUUCCUCAUCAAAUAACCAAACUCAGCCGCCUUUACUCUUUAAACAAAUCUGAACUUCAUCAUCAAUCAUAUUCUUCUUCCAUUUGUUCAAGCUCGGUUUAAAUUCGUUUGUUCUUUGACGGUUUACAUCGACUCGACGUUCUCUUCGAUCCCUACGUUUCAGAAUCAUAUACGACCCGUCGACUGUUCGUACUUCAGAGGCGAACCAGAGUUAGAUUGCUUGUCAGGAUCACGUGGAUUUAGCAAGCAGUGAGUUUAUAUCUCUAUUUACCUCUUUAUUAAGCAACUAUUAUAUUUUGUAUAUAUGUAUAUGUAUAAACAGCUUUCGAACUGUUUUCGGCAUUGUGGAUUUGAUUUGGAACGUGCUACUCGAUGGGCAUCAUCGGGACUGCGUGCGCACCGGUAAUGAUUAUGGUAUUGAGGUAGGUUUGAGAUACGUCUCACCUUAGUGAGGGCACCGGUGGAAGAUACGUCUCCUGGGCUCACUAUUUAUUAAGUGAUAGUCGGGGAUCGGUUCUUGAGAUACGUCUCACCGACACGACAAUGGAUUUAGAAUUGUGGUUUAGGGUUUCAUUGAUAAUCCAUAAUGAAAAUGUU